CGGCCGCUGCCGCCUCAGCUGCAUUUUCAGGCCGCCGCUUCCUGCCACCAGAACCAUGGCCCGUGACGUGCGGGAUGCAGCCUGGGGAGCGGCUCCGGCUGAGGGACACGGUUGCUCCUCAGUGACAUGGAGCUCCGUGGUCUUAAGGACCAGAAAUCCCUCUAGUCUGCCGAUAAGCCAUGUGGUGUACCGGUGCUCGGUGCUGGUUACAUAAUACUGCAUCUCUUAGAAACAGUAUUUUCGAGCCUUAAAAAUGAUGGCUGUGCCCUCGGGGCGCUGGGUUUGUUUAUCAUGGGCCCACAGGCCAGCUCUGUGUGGCAAACCCUGGGGCCACCCUUGGACUGUGCCAGCAUCACUGAAGGGUCAUCCCCGGUCCCUCAGAGCACUGUCACACCAGCUGGGGUUUGUGACGGGGACAGUAAAAUCCACUCAGAGGCAGAUGGACCUUGCCCCAUCUGAAGGGCACUGGAGAAAAAGAAAUGAUAAGAUAAAAAACUGUCCACAAUGCAAUGUUUAUAAACCUGCUUUUUUAUUUUUUUUUUUUUUGUAUUCUUCCAAAAGAGCCAUGUGUUAUAUUGAUGGUAACAACCAUUCUGAGCUGUGUUAAUGGGUGCUUUAUAUAACUGGAUGGAAAAAUCCUUCCUCUCAUUUCAGAUAUUUAGUUUCCUCUGUUUACCGGGUGUUGGAGCUUCCUACGUGGAGAAAGCUCUCAAGGAGCAAGUCACAUUUUCCAGGGUGCCGUGUACAUGGAGAGAUGAGGUCGGUGCUGGAACAGCCCUGUGUGCCUGUGCCAUGGGUGGAGCACUCUGGCACAGAGCCAGGAGUGACAGGGGUUUAAUGCCACUGACAGUAAACAGGUCAUACCCAGAAAAUGCCAUCUGAGCAGGAGCCUGAGCCAUCCCCAAAGGAAGAGUUCUGGAAAGAGCUGAGCUUCAUCUCCAGCCUUCUAGGGAGUGAUUUAGCUGCUUCAACCCAUUUCUGUUAUUGCUGAGAGGUAGGAUGGGAGUGUCCAGGAACACCCUAAUGCUUUGGAGACAGGAGGAUCUCUCUCUCUGACCAGUGUGGCUACUGCAAAAGGGGACAAAUGUCCAUGCUGGAAACUGCAAGCACAGGAAGAACAGAGCUUUGCCUUGUGCUUUGGGCAGGCAAUUACCUCUGUGCAGAGAGGCCAAAAAAAGACUGAUGAAAAUUCCACCUUUUUAAAUGCAGAGAUUGGAAAGGUACCAGGCAGAGAGAACUCCACGUGCUGCUGAACCAGCCCGAGACACCCCCGUGCAACACCAUGGUGACAAUCACCUUUUGUUCUUCACAUCCCUCUCUCUUUCGGCUGUUGCUGACAAAACUCCGAACUCUUUUUCUGCUUCAUUUCCCCGGCCCAGCUUUUCUCCUGCUCAGCAAACGUGCUGUGUGCUGAAGGACUCCCGUGGACUUUGCAUCCUUGAGGAAGCCUUUUUGCCAGAGGAAACGUCAGGGUGUUCAUCUAUGGCAGUGUGUAGCAGGAGCAAAAAGGAAAACACCUCUUAGGCAGGGCUUGAUUGCCAGCUGAAAAUAAGCAAAGUGCCUGUCAGUGACAUGUGAGCACAAAAAAGCUUUGCAGAUGGAAAUAAAGGCAAUGCUUUUUCCUCUUC
Molecule: non-coding RNA, 1628 nt
Organism: Cyanistes caeruleus (blue tit)
Lineage: Eukaryota; Metazoa; Chordata; Aves; Passeriformes; Paridae
Source: RefSeq, a predicted model, not a curated record